AUGCUCAUAGGGACACCGGGACAGGGAGUUUGGGGGACCAAGGGCUGUGGACCCCGCGAAGAGCAAGGAUGCCCCAGCAUGGGUGGAGGCCCAGGGCCUUCAUUCACCCACCCAGCUGAAGAGUCCUUUGCCGCCAGUGGAAUUCCUAAGGCCUCCUGCUGUUCUGCCUCGAUGGACAGAUGGACCCUGAUGGGCCACCUGCUCUCCCCUUCCUGCACCCUACCAGGGCACUCUCAGGAGGAGCUGCGCACAUGUACUGUUCACCCCGGUUUUGAGGAAGCUGGAGGUAACUUUCACAGGAAGGUUGGCAAUCCCCAGUGUGGACAAUAUCCAUCCGCCUAUGGGGCUGAGGGCAGGGGAAGGGGAACCUCCACUUGCUAAAAGCCCAAAAGAAUACUGCCGAAGGAGGCCUAGUGGAUUGACAGUAAAUGUCAACUCAAAAAACAAAUAUUGAAAAUUCAACUGCAGAGUAUAUUGAAAUCCGACUCAAAAAAAAAAAAAAACCUUGAAAAAAAGAUUUGCCAACACACAUGGCAAAGGGUGAGUUUCCUUAAACGCUUCUGCAGUGAGAGAAAAAUCAACCACCCAAGGGAAAACGGACCAACAACAGGCCUUUGCAGAAAGGAACCGCAAAUGGCUUCUGAAGAAAUGAGAUGUGCAGCCUUCUUCAUCGUGACAGAAAUGUAGAGGAGAAAAAUGACAUCUUCGUUUAAAUUGAUCGAGAAACAUCUUCAAGAUGUGCGCCCCAGUGGGAGGAAAAGACUGCAGGGAGGUAGGUGUUGGCCUCCCGGUGGGGUGGAAGCCAGGGCCCACGUGAUUUCCGGGAAUGGUCAGACCUGGUGAGUUCAUCUGUUUGCGCCAGGGGCAAAUGCCUGGGGUGGGCCUCCAGCCAGUUUCGAUGCAAGUCGGGUCCAUCACUUCCCAGCCGCCUGACUGCAGGCACCUGAUAUUCUCUGAGCCUCAGUUUUCUCAUCUGUAAACUGGGGUCAUGAUGCACUGCCAGGGAAGAUUCAGACUUGGGGAGGGGUGGG
This 1031-nucleotide long non-coding RNA is filed under the name Felis catus (domestic cat). RNAcentral describes it as "lncRNA (ENSFCAG00000049797.1)". The record is from RNAcentral. Lineage: Eukaryota; Metazoa; Chordata; Mammalia; Carnivora; Felidae.